ACCUACGGGGGGCAGCAGUGGGGAAUAUUGCCCAAUGGGGGAAACCCUGAUGCAGCAACGCCGCGGGAGUGAAGAAGUAUUUCGGUAUGUAAAGCUCUAUCAGCAGGGAAGAGAAUGACGGUACCUGACUAAGAAGCCCCGGCUAACUACGUGCCAGCAGCCGCGGGAAUACGUAGGGGGCAAGCGUUAUCCGGAUUUACUGGGUGUAAAGGGAGCGUAGACGGAUGGCAAAGUAUGAGGUGAAAGCCCGGGUGUUAACCCCG
Molecule: ribosomal RNA, 263 nt
Filed under: uncultured bacterium
Lineage: Bacteria
Description: partial 16S ribosomal RNA
Rfam family: Bacterial small subunit ribosomal RNA
Source: RNAcentral